RNAcentral lists this ribosomal RNA (1178 nucleotides) under Escherichia coli. RNAcentral describes it as "partial 23S ribosomal RNA". It matches the Rfam family "Bacterial large subunit ribosomal RNA", at positions 1 to 1212 of the family's 2925-position model. The record is from RNAcentral. Lineage: Bacteria; Pseudomonadati; Pseudomonadota; Gammaproteobacteria; Enterobacterales; Enterobacteriaceae.
GGGUUGUGAGGUUAAGCGACUAAGCGUACACGGUGGAUGCCCUGGCAGUCAGAGGCGAUGAAGGACGUGCUAAUCUGCGAUAAGCGUCGGUAAGGUGAUAUGAACCGUUAUAACCGGCGAUUUCCGAAUGGGGAAACCCAGUGUGAUUCGUCACACUAUCAUUAACUGAAUCCAUAGGUUAAUGAGGCGAACCGGGGGAACUGAAACAUCUAAGUACCCCGAGGAAAAGAAAUCAACCGAGAUUCCCCCAGUAGCGGCGAGCGAACGGGGAGGAGCCCAGAGCCUGAAUCAGUGUGUGUGUUAGUGGAAGCGUCUGGAAAGGCGCGCGAUACAGGGUGACAGCCCCGUACACAAAAAUGCACAUACUGUGAGCUCGAUGAGUAGGGCGGGACACGUGGUAUCCUGUCUGAAUAUGGGGGGACCAUCCUCCAAGGCUAAAUACUCCUGACUGACCGAUAGUGAACCAGUACCGUGAGGGAAAGGCGAAAAGAACCCCGGCGAGGGGAGUGAAAAAGAACCUGAAACCGUGUACGUACAAGCAGUGGGAGCCUCUUAAUGGGGUGACUGCGUACCUUUUGUAUAAUGGGUCAGCGACUUAUAUUCUGUAGCAAGGUUAACCGAAUAGGGGAGCCGAAGGGAAACCGAGUCUUAACUGGGCGUUAAGUUGCAGGGUAUAGACCCGAAACCCGGUGAUCUAGCCAUGGGCAGGUUGAAGGUUGGGUAACACUAACUGGAGGACCGAACCGACUAAUGUUGAAAAAUUAGCGGAUGACUUGUGGCUGGGGGUGAAAGGCCAAUCAAACCGGGAGAUAGCUGGUUCUCCCCGAAAGCUAUUUAGGUAGCGCCUCGUGAAUUCAUCUCCGGGGGUAGAGCACUGUUUCGGCAAGGGGGUCAUCCCGACUUACCAACCCGAUGCAAACUGCGAAUACCGGAGAAUGUUAUCACGGGAGACACACGGCGGGUGCUAACGUCCGUCGUGAAGAGGGAAACAACCCAGACCGCCAGCUAAGGUCCCAAAGUCAUGGUUAAGUGGGAAACGAUGUGGGAAGGCCCAGACAGCCAGGAUGUUGGCUUAGAAGCAGCCAUCAUUUAAAGAAAGCGUAAUAGCUCACUGGUCGAGUCGGCCUGCGCGGAAGAUGUAACGGGGCUAAACCAUGCACCGAAGCUGCGGCAGCGAC